Molecule: ribosomal RNA, 253 nt
Filed under: uncultured bacterium
Lineage: Bacteria
Description: partial 16S ribosomal RNA
Rfam family: Bacterial small subunit ribosomal RNA
Source: RNAcentral
UACAGAGGGUGCGAGCGUUAAUCGGAAUCACUGGGCUUAAAGCGUUCGUAGGCGGAUGUGCAGGCAUGUUGUGAAAUCCCAUGGCUCAACCAUGGAAUUGCUUCGUGAACCGCACGUCUCGAGGUAGGUAGAGGCGGUCGGAACGCUAGGUGGAGCGGUGAAAUGCGUAGAUAUCUAGCGGAACGCCGAAGGAGAAGUCAGGCCGCUGGGCCUUACCUGACGCUGAGGCACGAAAGCGUGGGGAGCAAACGGG